GACGAGCCGUGCGAACGUUAUUCGGAAUCACUGGGCUUAAAGCGCGUGUAGGCGGGAGGGCACGUCCGUCGCUGAAAUCCCCCGGCUCAACCGGGGAACGGGCGCGGAUACGACCUUCCUGGAGGGGCGUAGGGGGACCUGGAACUUCCGGUGGAGCGGUGAAAUGCGUUGAGAUCGGAAGGAACGCCCGUGGCGAAAGCGAGGUCCUGGACGCCUACUGACGCUGAGACGCGAAAGCCAGGGGAGCGAACGGG
RNAcentral lists this ribosomal RNA (254 nucleotides) under uncultured bacterium. Its description in RNAcentral is "partial 16S ribosomal RNA". It matches the Rfam family "Bacterial small subunit ribosomal RNA", at positions 524 to 776 of the family's 1533-position model. The record is from RNAcentral.